This 106-nucleotide small nuclear RNA is filed under the name Castor canadensis (American beaver). The record is from RNAcentral. Lineage: Eukaryota; Metazoa; Chordata; Mammalia; Rodentia; Castoridae.
AUGCUUACUUUGACAGAACAUAUACUAAAACUAGAAUUAUACAGAGAAGACUAGUAUGACCUCUGUAGAGGAUGACACAUAAAUUUUUAAAGCAUUCCAUGUUCUU